RNAcentral lists this ribosomal RNA (94 nucleotides) under Candidatus Blautia merdipullorum. Its description in RNAcentral is "partial 23S ribosomal RNA". It matches the Rfam family "Bacterial large subunit ribosomal RNA", at positions 2831 to 2925 of the family's 2925-position model. The record is from RNAcentral. Lineage: Bacteria; Bacillati; Bacillota; Clostridia; Lachnospirales; Lachnospiraceae.
AGACCCCUUGAAGACGACGAGGUAGAUAGGGCAGAGGUGGAAGUGCAGCAAUGUAUGGAGCUGACUGCUACUAAUCGGUCGAGGGCUUGACCUA